ACGGUGUUACAGAAACCGGGUUUUUCUUUCGUUUCACGUCGAGGUUUUUUUUUUUUUUUUUUUACUCGCACUGGUCUGUGGAUGAGUUGCGGACGGUUGUGUUUGGUGGCGGAGGAGAGAAUACAGAGAGGUGGAUGAAGCGACCCGAAAUGAGAAAAUCUCCCAAUCUUUGGCAGCACCCGGGACACUGGACAUUACAGCAACGCAGAGAACAGCUGAAAAAGCUUAAAAGUGAUUACAGGACCACAACAACCCCAGUAGGUCAGACUGUAAGGGCUGGAAACGGUUCGACCGAAGGAACGCUGUUUACGGACACCGACCGACGAGCACACGGAGGCAGGAUGACCGCGACUCGGCCACGACUUGCUAGAAGCAACGGAUGAAUCCAGUUCCAUAAGCGAGGAGGGUUCGAACAUCAACAUCCAGCACCACAGCAACGUGUCAUCACUGGCAAGAGUAAAAGGUGCCUGUUCCAGCAGGAGAAUCUGUCCAUCCAGCGAUGUUGAGGUUGAAGCUGAACUGGGUUCAGUGUGAUGGACACAUCCAACUGAUCCUCGAAGAAGCAACGGAGGUGGAAGCUGCGUUUAAUCGAGCAAUCCUUGACAUGCUGGGCGAGCAUAUCCACAUGAUGCAUGACCAGGGCGUGUGUCCUGCGCCCCCACCCCACAACCAUAGACAUAUGGAACUUUUGUAUAGUUUCUGUUG
Long non-coding RNA from Thalassophryne amazonica, 705 nucleotides. RefSeq lists it as uncharacterized. Lineage: Eukaryota; Metazoa; Chordata; Actinopteri; Batrachoidiformes; Batrachoididae. The record is from RefSeq and is a predicted model, not a curated record. The transcript has 3 exons.